RNAcentral lists this ribosomal RNA (469 nucleotides) under Abiotrophia defectiva. Its description in RNAcentral is "bacterial SSU rRNA". It matches the Rfam family "Bacterial small subunit ribosomal RNA", at positions 28 to 474 of the family's 1533-position model. The record is from RNAcentral. Lineage: Bacteria; Bacillati; Bacillota; Bacilli; Lactobacillales; Aerococcaceae.
GACGAACGCUGGCGGCGUGCCUAAUACAUGCAAGUCGAACGAACCGCGACCGAGUGCUUGCACUUGGUCAAGGUGAGUGGCGAACGGGUGAGUAACACGUGGGUAACCUACCUCAUAGUGGGGGAUAACAGUCGGAAACGACUGCUAAUACCGCAUAGGACAUGGGAUCACAUGAUUCUGUGAGGAAAGGUGGCGCAAGCUAUCGCUAAGAGAUGGACCCGCGGUGCAUUAGCUAGUUGGUAGGGUAACGGCCUACCAAGGCAAUGAUGCAUAGCCGACCUGAGAGGGUGAUCGGCCACAUUGGGACUGAGACACGGCCCAAACUCCUACGGGAGGCAGCAGUAGGGAAUCUUCCGCAAUGGACGCAAGUCUGACGGAGCAACGCCGCGUGAGUGAAGAAGGUCUUCGGAUCGUAAAGCUCUGUUGUUAGAGAAGAACAGCGCAUAGAGUAACUGUUAUGCGUGUGACG